GCCCCGCGCGCGCUCUCCGUUCCCCAGUCGUUCGCGCGCGUUGUCGGCGAUAACUUGUCUGUGUGUUGUUCGCUCUCUAUCGCGUGUUGUGUUUACAAUAGUGUUGUUAUUGUUGUUGUUACAGUCAGUGCUGUGUCAGACUGUGUGAAAUUGAUAUAUUACUAUUAACAGUCGUGCACAAGAUUAUUUACGGACUAAAUAAGUGUAGCAGUAGACAACCACGGCAGGCGCCGAGCUCAGCUCGGGUCAUGUGGUCAUCGGGCCAGGGUCGCGCGGCGUGAUGAGAUCGCGCGUGCGACGGGCCCGCUUGGCCCUUGCUGGCGAGUGCGCUGCUGCUGGCGUGUGCGCAGGCGCUCCCCGCCAGUGAGCAGCUCGCGCCAGGAAUAUGCCCUUCUAUGGACAUAAGAAACAAUCCGGAGCAGAUAAACCGGUUGCGAGGAUGUCGGGUGAUCGAGGGCCAACUCAGCAUUGUGCUGAUGGAGCGCUCUACGCCCAAGAUCUACGAGAACAUAAGCUUCCCGGAGCUCAGGGAAGUCACUGGAUAUAUUAUGAUAUACAGGACAAAGGUGAGGAACCUUGGCGAUCUGUUUCCAAACCUCACAGUGGUGCGGGGGAUACAGCUCUUCAAGGAUUUCGCUAUUGUCAUAUUCGACAAUGAGCAUCUCGAGGUACGUAUUUUGCAAUUUUC
This is a long non-coding RNA of Manduca sexta (tobacco hornworm), 688 nucleotides long. RefSeq lists it as uncharacterized. The record is from RefSeq and is a predicted model, not a curated record. Lineage: Eukaryota; Metazoa; Arthropoda; Insecta; Lepidoptera; Sphingidae. The transcript is spliced from 4 exons.